This is a long non-coding RNA of Leptopilina boulardi, 938 nucleotides long. RefSeq lists it as uncharacterized. NCBI's taxonomy places the organism in Eukaryota, Metazoa, Arthropoda, Insecta, Hymenoptera, Figitidae. The record is from RefSeq and is a predicted model, not a curated record. The transcript is spliced from 3 exons.
GUCACGGGGUCGGUGUCGUUUUUCGAAAUUUGUUAACUUAAUAUAAUAGAAGAUGUUUCGUUUUAAAUUAAGAAAUGUUAAAAUUAUUAAGUUAAAAACAUUUGAUUUUAAUGACACUUAAAAUUAGACACAAUAUUAUAGGUUACUAACUAAAAAUUGAAAAAACAACAAUCAAUAAUAAAAAAUAAUAAUAAAAAAUUGAAAAAAUCAAAAAAUUCUUAAAAAAUUGCAAAAUAACCCUUUUUCGGGUUAAAAUUGAAAAAAGAUGUUGGAUAAAAAUAGUUUCUAAGAUUUUCUAACAGCAUAUAUGCAAAGUAUUUUGAUUUAUUUGAAAAUAAUUGAAAAUAGAUUUUUCAAGGACGGUGUCGAUGUCACGGGGUCGGUGUCGUUUUUCGAAAUUUGUUAACUUAAUAUAAUAGAAGAUGUUUCGUUUUAAAUUAAGAAAUGUUAAAAUUAUUAAGUUAAAAACAUUUGAUUUUAAUGACACUUAAAAUUAGACACAAUAUUAUAGGUUACUAACUAAAAAUUGAAAAAACAACAAUCAAUAAUAAAAAAUAAUAAUAAAAAAUUGAAAAAAUCAAAAAAUUCUUAAAAAAUUGCAAAAUAACCCUUUUUAGGGUUAAAAUUGAAAAAAGAUGUUGGAUAAAAAUAGUUUCUAAGAUUUUCUAACAGCAUAUAUGCAAAGUAUUUUGAUUUAUUUGAAAAUAAUUGAAAAUAGAUUUUUCAAGGACGGUGUCGAUGUCACGGGGUCGGUGUCGUUUUUCGAAAUUUGUUAACUUAAUAUAAUAGAAGAUGUUUCGUUUUAAAUUAAGGAAUGUUAAAAUUAUUAAGUUAAAAACAUUUGAUUUUAAUGACACUUAAAAUUAGACACAAUAUUAUAGGUUACUAACUAAAAAUUGAAAAAACAACAAUAAAUAAUAAAAAAUAAUAAUAAAAAA